Molecule: long non-coding RNA, 529 nt
Filed under: Octopus vulgaris (common octopus)
Lineage: Eukaryota; Metazoa; Mollusca; Cephalopoda; Octopoda; Octopodidae
Source: RNAcentral
CGUCUCUGUCUCUUUACGUGUAAACUCACCCUCCCUGUCUCUCGUUCACUCAUUCUCUUUCGUCCUCUCUGUAUCAACCUUGCUAAAUCUUCAUUCCCCCCUUUCUACCACUUUCUCCUCCUCCUCCCCAUCCUGCUCCUGCUCCUGCCACCGUGACUCUCAGCUCUCCUCCUCCUUCUCCUCCUCCUGCUGCACCUUCUUCCUCUGUGUUCGCCUUUGGAAGAUUUUACUCCGCAAAGACGUUAAACUGUGCAUUGAAAUUGGACUUCGUUCUAUUGGACCUAGGCGUAUCUUUUUUUUUUCCUGACCAGGAAAAAAAACUGUUCUUCUUAUUUAAAGAUACGAUCGGGGUAAGUAAAUAAAACAACCCUCCCCCCACUCAAAAAAAAAAAAAAAAAAAAAAGAAAAAAUAACCCCCCAAAAACUCAACCAUAAAAAAAUUUUUUCAAAAAAUAAAAAAAAAUAUACAAGAAAAUUUGCAAACAGAGCAUUAUGGUUCUUGUUAUACAUACAUACAUUUAUAUACACC